RNAcentral lists this ribosomal RNA (534 nucleotides) under Clostridioides difficile. RNAcentral describes it as "bacterial SSU rRNA". It matches the Rfam family "Bacterial small subunit ribosomal RNA", at positions 264 to 816 of the family's 1533-position model. The record is from RNAcentral. Lineage: Bacteria; Bacillati; Bacillota; Clostridia; Peptostreptococcales; Peptostreptococcaceae.
CUUACCAAGGCGACGAUCAGUAGCCGACCUGAGAGGGUGAUCGGCCACAUUGGAACUGAGACACGGUCCAAACUCCUACGGGAGGCAGCAGUGGGGAAUAUUGCACAAUGGGCGAAAGCCUGAUGCAGCAACGCCGCGUGAGUGAUGAAGGCCUUCGGGUCGUAAAACUCUGUCCUCAAGGAAGAUAAUGACGGUACUUGAGGAGGAAGCCCCGGCUAACUACGUGCCAGCAGCCGCGGUAAUACGUAGGGGGCUAGCGUUAUCCGGAUUUACUGGGCGUAAAGGGUGCGUAGGCGGUCUUUCAAGUCAGGAGUGAAAGGCUACGGCUCAACCGUAGUAAGCUCUUGAAACUGGGAGACUUGAGUGCAGGAGAGGAGAGUGGAAUUCCUAGUGUAGCGGUGAAAUGCGUAGAUAUUAGGAGGAACACCAGUUGCGAAGGCGGCUCUCUGGACUGUAACUGACGCUGAGGCACGAAAGCGUGGGGAGCAAACAGGAUUAGAUACCCUGGUAGUCCACGCUGUAAACGAUGAGUAC